Molecule: non-coding RNA, 210 nt
Organism: Pelobates cultripes (western spadefoot toad)
Lineage: Eukaryota; Metazoa; Chordata; Amphibia; Anura; Pelobatidae
Source: the annotation of a GenBank genome assembly
GCAACCUGGAAACUGCGUACUGACGUCUCCCUAUGUUGCCAUGGUAACCCAAUAUCGCUUCGGGCACCAUAGCAUCUGGGAUAAACAUAAACAAAGUGUGAGCCAGAACCAUUCCACCACCAGUGAUAUGUGCAAUCACAAAGAUGAAUCCUAUAGUGACAUGUAAACUACUUCAUAUUGCAUAUUGUUGUGUUUAAUAAAGUGACUUAU